GUGAGGAUCGAACUCACGCUCUUGCGAUUAACAGUCGCACGCCUUAACCAGCUUGGCCA
Molecule: transfer RNA, 59 nt
Filed under: Zygosaccharomyces rouxii
Lineage: Eukaryota; Fungi; Ascomycota; Saccharomycetes; Saccharomycetales; Saccharomycetaceae
Description: partial transfer RNA
Source: RNAcentral